This 348-nucleotide long non-coding RNA is filed under the name Crocodylus porosus (Australian saltwater crocodile). RNAcentral's name for it is "lncRNA (ENSCPRG00005002402.1)". Lineage: Eukaryota; Metazoa; Chordata; Crocodylia; Crocodylidae. The record is from RNAcentral.
CUCAAUCUUCCAGGAUUCAAAAGUCUUUCCCAGCCUAGUUUGUUAAAGCAUCACCAGGCCUCUUCAAGCAGUGAAUCAAAGAAAAGUUGGAGGAAGAGAGGAAAACUUAAGUGAAAGCCAUGAAGCAUUAAGACUGCAUGAGGGUUAUUUUGAGAUCAUCUGAUUUCCUACUAGGAGGUGCUAUGAGAGAUCAUCGCCUUGAAAACCUUCAAAGAGAAUGGUCUGAAAGGGGUUUUUUUGGUGGUGGCAUGUUCCAGAACUUGGAUCAGUUUUACAUUUUCAUUUAGCAUGAGAGAGUUUUUAAACUUGUGUGUCUGUAUAAAAAUAAACUUCCAUCACAGGACUUCA